AUGGGAACGCGAAGAACCUUACCUAGACUUGACAUCUCCUGAAUAGUGUAGAGAUACAUGAAGCCCUUCGGGCGAGAAGACAGGUGGUGCAUGGUUGUCGUCAGCUCGUGUCGUGAGAUGUUGGGUUAAGGUCCCGCAACGAGCGCAACCCUUAUUACUAGUUGCUACCAUUAAGUUGAGCACUCUAGUGAGACUGCCCGGGUUAACCGGGAGGAAGGCGGGGAGUGACGUCAAAUCAUCAUGCCCCUUAUGUCUAGGGCAACACACGUGCUACAAUGGUGAGUACAGAUAGAUGCGAUACCGCAAGGUGGAGCCAAACUCUAAAACUCAUCCCAGUUCGGAUUGUAGGCUGCAACUCGCCUACAUGAAGUUGGAGUUGCUAGUAAUCGUAGAUCAGAAUGCUACGGUGAAUACGUUCCCGGGUCUUGUACACACCG
RNAcentral lists this ribosomal RNA (437 nucleotides) under uncultured bacterium. Its description in RNAcentral is "bacterial SSU rRNA". It matches the Rfam family "Bacterial small subunit ribosomal RNA", at positions 954 to 1392 of the family's 1533-position model. The record is from RNAcentral.